This 253-nucleotide ribosomal RNA is filed under the name uncultured bacterium. RNAcentral's name for it is "partial 16S ribosomal RNA". It matches the Rfam family "Bacterial small subunit ribosomal RNA", at positions 524 to 776 of the family's 1533-position model. The record is from RNAcentral.
UACGAAGGGGGCUAGCGUUGUUCGGAAUUACUGGGCGUAAAGCGUAUGCAGGCGGACUUUUAAGUCGGGGGUGAAAUCCCGAGGCUCAACCUCGGAACUGCCUUCGAUACUGGAAGUCUUGAGUCCGGGAGAGGUGAGUGGAACUCCGAGUGUAGAGGUGAAAUUCGUAGAUAUUCGGAAGAACACCAGUGGCGAAGGCGGCUCACUGGCCCGGUACUGACGCUGAGGAGCGAAAGCGUGGGGAGCGAACAGG